Molecule: ribosomal RNA, 253 nt
Filed under: uncultured bacterium
Lineage: Bacteria
Description: partial 16S ribosomal RNA
Rfam family: Bacterial small subunit ribosomal RNA
Source: RNAcentral
UACAGAGGUCCCAAGCGUUGUUCGGAUUCAUUGGGCGUAAAGGGCGCGUAGGCGGGAUGGCAAGUCGGUCGUGAAAUCCCUCGGCUCAACUGAGGAUCGUCGAUCGAUACUGCCGUUCUUGAGGAUUGCAGAGGAGACUGGAAUUCCCGGUGUAGCGGUGAAAUGUGUAGAGAUCGGGAGGAACACCGGUGGCGAAGGCGGGUCUCUGGGCAAUUCCUGACGCUGAGGCGCGAAAGCGUGGGGAGCAAACGGG